Molecule: long non-coding RNA, 1087 nt
Organism: Fundulus heteroclitus (mummichog)
Lineage: Eukaryota; Metazoa; Chordata; Actinopteri; Cyprinodontiformes; Fundulidae
Exons: 4
Source: RefSeq, a predicted model, not a curated record
AGGGUUGUGGGGGCGGAAGGAAGAACUUUUUUUCCCCCAUUUGGGAAUGCGGAAAUCUUCUGCUUCUGCAGCCCCGGGUGAUUUUUCUGUGUUUAACACGAACAAACAAGACCCAGGAUGGCCAGUAAGAGUGCUGUCAGAGCAGACGAGGGCCUGAUGAUGAUGCAGGAGCUUGAUGAUCGGCUGAAAGAACAAAUUGACAAACUUGAGCACAUUCGUCUGGCUGCAUUCGAAGUGAAGGACAACUUGUCUGGGAGCAACAGUGAUCUGAGCCAGUCCAUCAGUGACCAUUUGGAAUGGCUAAAACAUCUGUCCGAUCGAGUUGAGACGCUUCAUGUGAACACAGAUGUGUUUGUUCAGAUGAAUCCAAAGCCUCGAACGUGGACAUCCAGACGUGGUUCCAGACAAAGCUUCCGUUUGGGACGUCUCCAGCAGGCGGACGAUGCUGCGUCUGAGUUCGGCUGGUCCCCAGUGCGGAUGCGGCGCAACAGUGAUGCUGCGUCUGAAAUGUCGUGUAACUGGUGAAAGGGAACCCUGGAUCUCAUACCUACAAAAGAAACGAUGUAAUCCAAAAACAGUAUCGAGAUUCAGCUAUCUUUUUUUUUUUUAGGUACUCUAAGUUUUUCACUUAAAGAUGCAAUUCCUUCAUUAGUGGCAGCACACCUGAAUUUUUAAAGGAGCACCUGUAUGUAGCUACUACAAGCACUUCCAUAAACACUUUCUUUAUAUGGACCUCCAAAAUGCUCAAAAUUAAAUAGAUAAAUAAACUAUAUGAAAUAAAUAUCUACAUGUAUAAAUAAUAGAUUAAUAUAUUAUGUGACAAUGAAAUUGUAAUAACUGAAUGCAUAAAAAAGUAUAAGCUGAUUAUUAUGAAACGUUUUCCUUUUCCUCUAAAGAUGCACUCAUUAAUUCAAAAGAUUAUUUCAAUGUCAUUUUUUUUCAUAAUAAUAUAUGAUUUUGAGCAUUUUGGAGUUGCGUAUAUCCAGCAGUACCUCAGCGAUGUCCCACUAUAAGCGUAUUAGAUUAAUGAAAGUGUUGUAUACUCACUGUUACCUCAUACAAAAUAAAAAUGUUGUUUUCAAAUUUU